AUGCACCCUUACCUCAGCCCUGCAUCAGCCCCAGGGUGGGCGUUCCCCCGGUCUGUUGGAGUGGCCCUGGGGACCAGCACCAUCCAUAGUGCCUUUCCCAGCUCACCAGUGUCAAGUACUACAGAUCCACCCCACUGGAGAAAGAUAACACAGAGGUGUCUACACCACAAAAUGGAGUUUGAUGGAGAAAACAGUGCUGACCAAGAACUGACUUUAUGUAAAGCUACUCAGAUGGAAGAUUCUGAUUCAGAAGACACAGGCCAUUUCAGAGCUGGAGGAGUAUUGUGCCUUAUUGAUAAUUCCCUUGAGAAGACUUCAGUGUAA
This 324-nucleotide long non-coding RNA is filed under the name Numida meleagris (helmeted guineafowl). RNAcentral's name for it is "lncRNA (ENSNMEG00000017560.1)". Lineage: Eukaryota; Metazoa; Chordata; Aves; Galliformes; Numididae. The record is from RNAcentral.